Molecule: long non-coding RNA, 356 nt
Filed under: Apteryx owenii (little spotted kiwi)
Lineage: Eukaryota; Metazoa; Chordata; Aves; Apterygiformes; Apterygidae
Description: lncRNA (ENSAOWG00000014979.1)
Source: RNAcentral
CUUGCAGAAGCUAUUUUGCGAGAGACAUCAUCUUCAUCCAAACAAGAAGAAAGAUCAUGGAGAGACAGUCAUAAAAGCCACAGCAUCACCCCUGUGGGGUUGAAGACAUCUUUGCAGAAACACUUCUUCAGAAAUGUGAAUAGCAAAGCACUAAAAAGCUCUGUACAAAGGACUGAGUGUUUAAGAUCAGUAACAAAGGAGCAUCAAGAAAAGAAAUCAUCUAAUUGCUUCCUUAGCAGAAGCACAACACCCACUGGCAGGAGAACACCUCAUCAAGAAAGAGUAACACCUUUUGAGCCAGAAAAAGUUGCAUAUCCACCCUCUCCUAUGGGGAAGAGGACAGAUGAUAGAAAAUC